RNAcentral lists this ribosomal RNA (468 nucleotides) under uncultured bacterium. RNAcentral describes it as "partial 16S ribosomal RNA". It matches the Rfam family "Bacterial small subunit ribosomal RNA", at positions 28 to 507 of the family's 1533-position model. The record is from RNAcentral.
GACGAACGCUGGCGGCGUGCUUAACACGUGCAAGUCGAAUGGAAAGGCCCUGCUUUUGUGGGGUGCUCGAGUGGCGAACGGGUGAGUAACACGUGAGUAACCUGCCCUUGACUUUGGGAUAACUUCAGGAAACUGGGGCUAAUACCGGAUAGGAGCUCCUGCUGCAUGGUGGGGGUUGGAAAGUUUCGGCGGUUGGGGAUGGACUCGCGGCUUAUCAGCUUGUUGGUGGGGUAGUGGCUUACCAAGGCUUUGACGGGUAGCCGGCCUGAGAGGGUGACCGGCCACAUUGGGACUGAGAUACGGCCCAGACUCCUACGGGAGGCAGCAGUGGGGAAUAUUGCACAAUGGGCGGAAGCCUGAUGCAGCAACGCCGCGUGCGGGAUGACGGCCUUCGGGUUGUAAACCGCUUUCGCCUGUGACGAAGCGUGAGUGACGGUAAUGGGUAAAGAAGCACCGGCUAACUACGUG